RNAcentral lists this ribosomal RNA (500 nucleotides) under uncultured Glomeromycotina. Its description in RNAcentral is "partial small subunit ribosomal RNA". It matches the Rfam family "Eukaryotic small subunit ribosomal RNA", at positions 591 to 1092 of the family's 1831-position model. The record is from RNAcentral. Lineage: Eukaryota; Fungi; Glomeromycota.
CCAAUAGCGUAUAUUAAAGUUGUUGCAGUUAAAAAGCUCGUAGUUGAAUUUCGGGGUCAGUAGGUUGGUCAUGCCACUGGUAUGUACUGGUCUCACUGAUUCCUCCUUCCUGAUGAACUGUAAUACCAUUAAUUUGGUGUUGCAGGGAAUCUGGACUGUUACUUUGAAAAAAUUAGGGUGUUUAAAGCAGGCUAACGCCUGAAUACAUUAGCAUGGAAUAAUGAAAUAGGACGAUCGAUCCUAUUUUGUUGGUUUCUAGGAUUGACGUAAUGAUUAAUAGGGAUAGUUGGGGGCAUUAGUAUUCAAUUGUCAGAGGUGAAAUUCUUGGAUUUAUUGAAGACUAACUACUGCGAAAGCAUUUGCCAAGGAUGUUUUCAUUAAUCAAGAACGAAAGUUAGGGGAUCGAAGACGAUCAGAUACCGUCGUAGUCUUAACCAUAAACUAUGCCGACUAGGGAUCGGAUGAUGUUAAUUUUUUAAUGACUCAUUCGGCGCCUUACG